RNAcentral lists this RNase P RNA (345 nucleotides) under pig gut metagenome. Its description in RNAcentral is "Bacterial RNase P class A". It matches the Rfam family "Bacterial RNase P class A". From Rfam's summary of the family: Ribonuclease P (RNase P) is a ubiquitous endoribonuclease, found in archaea, bacteria and eukarya as well as chloroplasts and mitochondria. Its best characterised activity is the generation of mature 5'-ends of tRNAs by cleaving the 5'-leader elements of precursor-tRNAs. Cellular RNase Ps are ribonucleoproteins. The record is from RNAcentral.
CGCUUUUUUAAAGAGGAAAGUCCGGGCAAUGCAGUGCGCCAUGCUUCCUAACGGGAAGAUCUCCGUGAGGGGAUAGUAACAUAACAGAAAACGACCGCCCGCAAGGGUAAGGGUGAAAAGGCGGGGUAAGAGCCCACCAGAGCUUCGGGCAACCGAAGUUGCUGUAUGUCUGAUGGAUUGUAAGACCAUGUAUAUUCCGAUUGCCUUUGGCUACAGGGUUGCACGCUCUGGUUAUUCAGUUAAGUCGGAAGGGGUAGGUCGCUGGAGGCAUUGGGUGACCAGUGUCCAAGAUAAAUGAUAAGCGCCUUCGGAUGAAGGAACAGAACUCGGCUUAUAGACUUACUA